Molecule: long non-coding RNA, 1120 nt
Filed under: Takifugu rubripes (torafugu)
Lineage: Eukaryota; Metazoa; Chordata; Actinopteri; Tetraodontiformes; Tetraodontidae
Description: lncRNA (ENSTRUG00000028950.1)
Source: RNAcentral
CCUACACCAACGACAGUCCAUGGUUUUUUUCAAAGACGGAGGUGGUUCAUUGAGGUUUGAGGUCAAGUUUGGAACUGAGCAAUAAACUCUUUUAAAAGCUGCCAUUUGAAGUGAAAGUAAACUAUGUGUGGUUGCUCGUUUUGGCCUGAAAAUACAAAACACGUUGAAUUCUUAAUUGAGUAAAUCUUAAUGAAGGGUAAUUUUCUGGGUUAAAGGAAUGCGCAGCCGCAUCUAAUAAAGUCCUUGUUUGGCGCGCGACAGGGAGGAUUGAUGAAUUGAAAUAAACUCUGGUGCACGCUGCAGCUGCCGACAGAUGUUGCACUGAGCAAAAAAAAAGCAGUAACUCUCUUUUUCAUCGAAUUCAUUUUCUACAUUCUUACCAUACGUCUCAACUGCGGCUACCCCCUGCUGUGACGGGUCAAAUACCAGCCAGGGAAGGUCAAAAGGAUCUCCUACCUGCCCCGUGACUGCCUCUCUAAUUGCUCCCUUUUCUCUCCUUCACAGGUUCGACCGAAGGCCGGGGUCAACGGAACCAGGGACUCGCCCACCCCAUCCUCGUAAUGUUCACUGUUUGUCCAAGUCAUGAUCUGAGCACGUGGACAUGAUCCCAGGCUCCCUUUGGAUCUCUACGUCAUCAUCGCCGGUGUUGGGGCAUUUGGAAAUAAUCACCUCAGACGGUUUGUUGUGGCUCUUCUGUUAUGGAGACAGACGCACGCGGUGAGAUCUAAUGUGCUUGACUAUUGCAGCUCUGUUGAAAGUGAGAGUUUGGAACCAACUCCCAGCAAUCACAGAAUCAUUACAGAAUUUAUGCUUCCCAGCCCAGAUCAGCCCAAGAUCCAGUGUGUGCAUGUGAGACAGAUGCGGAGGUCUGUGUGUAUUUCCGGUCAUUUUCUCACGCCAUGUUUUUAUAUUAAACUGUGAACAUUAAUUAUAUUCCUCAUGUUUUCUUCCGGCGUCCACAGAAAUCUCGAAGCAACUCUGGCUCCACCUGGAGGCCGGUCAUAUUACUGCAAUUGUUCUGGGUCCGAGACACCAUGACAAGGGGUAAACUGGACAAAAAAAACACCUCUGCACAAGACACAAUACAGCAACAUUCAGUUGCUGCAUCGGUUUGAGGAAG